AUUGGUUACACACGCUGUCAGGUUUAGUAUAGUGGUGACCACGUCUAGUCAACCUGAGCCACCAGAGCAGUGAACACACAGAAGAAUAUAUGGUCUAUUGUUCUCAAGUGCAGUUUGUCCUCUUAAGUUUAUAAUAUGAAUAUUUGAUUGAUGUAAUUAACACUUUACACUAUGUGAGGUUCAUUGAAAUGUUUAACUGUGAUAUUUGAAAUCCCUUUAGCCUGCAUGUGAGGACACUGCUAACAUGAUGGAUGACGUUGAACCAAGCCACUCAACUUUGGUCCUCUGACCAACACUGGAGCUUCCUCUUCUGACCUAAAGCCUGGGACAGCAUUAUGGACAUGGUUGAACCAAGCUGCUCAGCUUCAAGUCCUGUGACCAACUCUGGAACUUCUUCUGGCUUAAAGCCUGCAUGUGAGGACUCUGCUAACAUGAUGGACGUGGUUGAAUCAAGCUGCUCAGCGUCAAGUCCUGUGACCAACUCUGGAACAACUUCUUCUGG
Long non-coding RNA from Colossoma macropomum (tambaqui), 502 nucleotides. RefSeq lists it as uncharacterized. Lineage: Eukaryota; Metazoa; Chordata; Actinopteri; Characiformes; Serrasalmidae. The record is from RefSeq and is a predicted model, not a curated record. The transcript has 3 exons.